CGGGAAGCGGCGGCUGGCUGUCGUCGGAAUGGCCUUUCACUGCUCGAGCUGGCGAACUGCACAAGUGUGAAACUGAAUUAAAGGACUGACGCGCAGGGUGACAGGCUGUGGCAGAAGAUGCAAUUCUGCUCAUGGGAACAAGGAAGAGGACUGCUGAACUGGGAGUAGUUGCCAGCAACAGCCACUCACAGCAAAAGGCAAUGGCUGUUUACCUGCAUUGCUCAGUGGGACCAGGAAG
Molecule: long non-coding RNA, 238 nt
Organism: Lagopus muta (rock ptarmigan)
Lineage: Eukaryota; Metazoa; Chordata; Aves; Galliformes; Phasianidae
Exons: 3
Source: RefSeq, a predicted model, not a curated record